Molecule: long non-coding RNA, 477 nt
Organism: Cercocebus atys (sooty mangabey)
Lineage: Eukaryota; Metazoa; Chordata; Mammalia; Primates; Cercopithecidae
Source: Ensembl
UGGAAAUCCACCCCAUGGUGCUCCUCAGCCUCACCCAGGCUCUCCCGCUUCUUGGUGCUCCAGAAGGGGCUGGUGGAGGUGGGGAAGAGGACUCCGUGCAGAAGCUGUAAAGAGAGCGCUCUCUCCUUGAAUCACACGUGGGAAGUGGCCCUCAACUCCCAGCACACAUGGCUGAGAGGACUCAGAGGGGACUCACGUCACUGGGCUGGGGAGACUCAACCCCAAAUUUCCCUUCCAGGGGGUUGCCCUGCUGGCGACAGUCUUGGCUUCGAAGGGGCCCUCCAAGGUCCUGGGACCGGGGAGCUACUGCUGCAGCAGAAGGCUGGAGACCAGACAUCUUCAACAGCCUAAGUGCUGUCUGUGACAGGCCUACUAAGCGCCAGGUGCUGGGGUGUGUGUCUGGGUGAGCGAGUGAGGAUGCCAGGAGGUGGGCAGGGUUGUGAGGUGUGGAGAAGCAGCUGCAGGUGCUAAGAGGGG